This 408-nucleotide ribosomal RNA is filed under the name uncultured bacterium. RNAcentral's name for it is "partial 16S ribosomal RNA". It matches the Rfam family "Bacterial small subunit ribosomal RNA", at positions 28 to 526 of the family's 1533-position model. The record is from RNAcentral.
GACGAACGCUGGCGGCGUGCUUAACACAUGCAAGUCGAACGGAGUGGCGAACGGGUGAGUAACACGUGGGUGACCUGCCCUGCACUUCGGGAGAAGCCUCGGAAACUGGGUCGAAUAACGGAUAGUGUGGGAUGGGCCCGCGGCCUAUCAGCUUGUUGGUGGGGUAAUGGCCUACCCAGGCGGCGACGGGUAGCCGGCCUGAGAGGGUGGACGGCCACAUUGGGCCUGAGACACGGCCCAGACUCCUACGGGGGGCAGCAGUGGGGAAUAUUGCACAAUGGGCGGAAGCCUGAUGCAGCGACGCCGCGUGUGGGAUGACGGCCUUCGGGUUGUAAACUCCUUUCACCAUCGACGCGGUAGAUGGAGAAGAAGCACCGGCUAACGACGUGCCAGCAGCCGCGGUAAUAC